RNAcentral lists this transfer RNA (65 nucleotides) under Chinapotamon maolanense. RNAcentral's name for it is "tRNA-Ala". Lineage: Eukaryota; Metazoa; Arthropoda; Malacostraca; Decapoda; Potamidae. The record is from RNAcentral.
GAAACUAUAGUCAAUAUAAAUAUGAUAUAUAAUUUGCACUUAUAAGGAGUUAGAAACUAGUUUCG